GCCCGACUAGCUCACCGGUAGAGCGCCUCACUAGUAUAUCUUGAUUAUCCUCAGAUGCAAUGAGGAGGCAACAGGUUCGACUCCUGUGUUGGGCA
Molecule: non-coding RNA, 95 nt
Organism: Annulohypoxylon bovei var. microspora
Lineage: Eukaryota; Fungi; Ascomycota; Sordariomycetes; Xylariales; Hypoxylaceae
Source: the annotation of a GenBank genome assembly